RNAcentral lists this ribosomal RNA (303 nucleotides) under uncultured bacterium. RNAcentral describes it as "partial 16S ribosomal RNA". It matches the Rfam family "Bacterial small subunit ribosomal RNA", at positions 507 to 809 of the family's 1533-position model. The record is from RNAcentral.
AGCAGUAGCCGCGGGAAUACAGAGGGUGCGAGCGUUAAUCGGAUUUACUGGGCGUAAAGCGUGCGUAGGCGGCUUCUUAAGUCGGAUGUGAAAUCCCUGAGCUUAACUUAGGAAUUGCAUUCGAUACUGGGAAGCUAGAGUAUGGGAGAGGAUGGUAGAAUUCCAGGUGUAGCGGUGAAAUGCGUAGAGAUCUGGAGGAAUACCGAUGGCGAAGGCAGCCAUCUGGCCUAAUACUGACGCUGAGGUACGAAAGCAUGGGGAGCAAACAGGAUUAGAUACCCCCGUAGUCCCUGUCUCUUAUAA